Molecule: ribosomal RNA, 460 nt
Filed under: uncultured bacterium
Lineage: Bacteria
Description: partial 16S ribosomal RNA
Rfam family: Bacterial small subunit ribosomal RNA
Source: RNAcentral
CCUACGGGAGGCAGCAGUGAGGAAUAUUGGUCAAUGGACGAGAGUCUGAACCAGCCAAGUAGCGUGAAGGAUGACUGCCCUAUGGGUUGUAAACUUCUUUUAUAUGGGAAUAAAACGUUCCACGUGUGGGAUUUUGUAUGUACCAUAUGAAUAAGGAUCGGCUAACUCCGUGCCAGCAGCCGCGGUAAUACGGAGGAUCCGAGCGUUAUCCGGAUUUAUUGGGUUUAAAGGGAGCGUAGGUGGAUUGUUAAGUCAGUUGUGAAAGUUUGCGGCUCAACCGUAAAAUUGCAGUUGAUACUGGCAGUCUUGAGUACAGUAGAGGUGGGCGGAAUUCGUGGUGUAGCGGUGAAAUGCUUAGAUAUCACGAAGAACUCCGAUUGCGAAGGCAGUUCACUGAACUGCAACUGACACUGAGGCUCGAAAGUGUGGGUAUCAAACAGGAUUAGAUACCCCAGUAGUC